RNAcentral lists this ribosomal RNA (474 nucleotides) under uncultured bacterium. Its description in RNAcentral is "SSU rRNA". It matches the Rfam family "Bacterial small subunit ribosomal RNA", at positions 26 to 518 of the family's 1533-position model. The record is from RNAcentral.
AGGACGAACGCUGGCGGCGUGCUUAACACAUGCAAGUCGAGCGGAAAGGCCCUUCGGGGUACUCGAGCGGCGAACGGGUGAGUAACACGUGAGCAACCUGCCCUUAGCUCCGGGAUAGCUCCGGGAAACCGGAAUUAAUACCGGAUAUGACCUAGGCCGACAUCGGCUGUGGUGGAAAGUUUUUCGGCUGGGGAUGGACUCGCGGCCUAUCAGCUUGUUGGUGGGGUAAUGGCCUACCAAGGCGACGACGGGUAGCCGGCCUGAGAGGGCGACCGGCCACACUGGGACUGAGACACGGCCCAGACUCCUACGGGAGGUAGCAGUGGGGAAUCUUGCGCAAUGGGCGAAAGCCUGACGCAGCGACGCCGCGUGGGGGAUGAAGGCCUUCGGGUUGUAAACCCCUUUCAGCAGGGACGAAGCGAAAGUGACGGUACCUGCAGAAGAAGCGCCGGCUAACUACGCGCCAGCAGCCGC